This 4727-nucleotide long non-coding RNA is filed under the name Lactuca sativa (garden lettuce). Its description in RNAcentral is "long non-coding RNA (LSAT_LNC008286)". The record is from RNAcentral. Lineage: Eukaryota; Viridiplantae; Streptophyta; Magnoliopsida; Asterales; Asteraceae.
UUUUUUUUUUGAAUCUUGAAUAGUUUCUUUAUGGACUUAUUUCGAUUAACUUUUUAUGCUUUUUUUUAAGGAAUGGGAGAUGGGAGCGAGUUCUCGGGAGAAUUGUUUGAUGCCCUUGCGAGACGGAAAGGGAUAGAUGUGUCCGAAGGGAUCACGUUAGGACAAGUGAAAAUAUUCUGGGAAGAUUUGACAAAAGAGGAUCUUGAUACUCGAGUUCAUAUUUUCUUCGACAUGUAAGAUCACAUUUCGAUUUCAUUCAAGUUUUUUUCAUGUAGAUUGUCAAACAAGCUCCUAGAGUAAAUUCAGUUGGUAUACUUGCAUUAAACGUGAAGAGUUUAAGUCUCAACAUCUGUCAGUAUUAGAGUUUUAAUUCCAAUGUGGAUUUGGUUCCUUGUGGACAAUGGGGCACUUAUGCUAGCCCCCAAGCGGGUUGUUGUUGAUCUGAUUUACCUCUCACAUGAUACUCCUCGGGUAGCUCUAGGAUUAAUAUUAAUAGAAGAAUAAUCUUUUUGCAGAAAAAUGUCAAACUAAAACCUAGUGGCUAAUAAUUAAAGUUUUUUUCAGGUGUGACAAGAACGGGGACGGCUUGCUAACGGAGGAGGAUGUAAAAGAGGUAGAUAUUAUAUAAAGGAGCCAUUUCUGAUAAAUUUUCUUUGUUCUUCUCAAUCUAAAUCACAUAUCAUUGUUUAAAGUUUUCGGUUUUUCUUAUGUUGAAGGUGUUGAUAAUGAGUGCAUCAGCCAACAAACUUUCGGCUUUCAAGAAACAAGCGGGAACAUAUGCAGCUCUAAUCAUGGAAAGACUCGACCCUGACCAGCACGGCCACAUAGAGGUAAUUAUAUCCUAAUAACUAUAUAGUUGAUGAUCAACUUACUACUUAUAUUUUUAUAUAAUUUUAAAACAUCUAAUAAUCAUAUUCAUUUAAUUAAUUUGAUUAUCUAACAGAUGUGGCAACUUGAGACAUUGUUAAAAAGCACGACAUCUAAGGAAACAUGCAAGUUAACCGCUGAGGACACGACUGAUCUAGCAAAAACGAUGAUUCCAGAAGAUUACAGAAACCCCAUGAGAAAAUUCUGUACAAAAAUGUUUGAAUCAGGGCUCGAACAUUGGAAAGUAAUGUGGGUAUUAUUUCUCUUUUGGGAAAUGAACAUCGCACUGUUCAUGUGGAAAUUCCACCAGUAUAACUUGAUGCCAUCGUUUCAAGUCCUGGGAUAUUGCAGCUGCACUGCAAAAGGCGCGGGUGAAACCCUAAAGUUCAAUAUGGCUCUCAUUCUCCUUCCUGUAUGCAGAAGAACACUUACAUCCAUUCGAGAAACUUUCCUUGGAAAAUUACUACCUGUUGAUGAGAACAUCAACUUCCAUAAAAUCAUCGCCCUUGCAAUUGUAAUAGGGAGUGUGGUUCACACAGUGGCCCACUUGUCGUGCAAUUUUAUAAGGCUGUCGACUUGCCCUAAUAACCAGUUCAUGGCUGUUUUUGGAGCUUUGUUUACAGAACAGCCAACUUACAUGGACCUAUUGUUAAGCAUCCCCGGGUGGACUGGAAUUGUAAUGAUGAUUUUAAUGGCUAUUUCCUUCCUCUUCGCUACAAGUUCUUUUAGGAGAAAUGUCAAUAAUUUGCCUAGGCCAUUUAGUGAUUUGGCUGGGUUUACUUCCUUUUGGUACACUCAUCAUCUGCUGAUUAUCGUUUACUUCUUGUUCAUCGCUCAUGGCUACUUCUUAAUCCUCACCGUAGGAUGGUAUAGGAAAACUGUAUGUCGCUUUUACAACUUUUCUGUAUAUACACACACACACACAAACGAUUUUUGCUUUUGAUGAAAAGUUUGACAAAAUUUUGUCAAAAUUGCAGACGUGGAUGUAUCUCUUGAUUCCAAUGGUGUGUUAUGCUAGUGAAAGAAUCCUUACAACUGAUCAUACACUGAAAGUUGAUACCAUUAAGGUGACUAUAUAUAUAACUCUCAUGCAAGUCCUUAUGUUUCUUGUUCUCUACUAGCUAGAAAACCCUAAUUUCUUUUGUACAUGUUGUGUAAAUGCAGGCUAUCAUAUACACGGGAAAUGUGCUAGCAUUAUACAUGACUAAACCUACAGGAUUCAAGUACAAGAGUGGAAUGUACCUCUUUGUACAAUGUCCAAGAAUAUCACGUUUUGAAUGGUAAGUGUCAAUUAGAUUCAUAUAGGAUAAAAUCCAACAUAUAUAGAGACAGAUGAGACUGCAACCAUGCUACUUGGAUCUUGAAUUGACAAAAAUGAAUUAUUCAUAAAUGUGGAUUUACUAUAUAUGACAGGCAUCCGUUCACUAUCACUUCUGCACCUGGAGAUGACUACUUAAGUGUGCAUAUUCGUACUUUGGGAGACUGGACAAAAGCACUUAGAGAAGAAUUCGCAAAGGUCAAACAAUGUGUUAAUAUAUACAUCUCCAUUCACUUCUACCUCUUCAUCAACUGCAUGUUCUCUCUUAAUCUGAAUUCUAAAACACAGAAAUGCAGGCCAGCUGUGAGGCUCAGCAGAAGAACAGUGUAGAAGGAAAUCUUGUCAGAAUCGAAACUAAUGCCAAAGAAUCACAAGUAAAGUGAGUUCCAUAAAAAACUAAGGCUAAAUCACCCACUUUUACAUAAAUUUAUUUUAAUUUUCACUUUUUGUUUUGGUAGGUAUCCUAAAAUCUACAUUAAAGGACCUUAUGGAGCACCAGCUCAACAUUAUAGGAAUUACCAAGUCCUGUUACUUAUUGGCUUGGGUAUUGGAGCCACUCCAUUCAUCAGUAUUUUAAACGACCUCCUACACCACCUAAAACAAUCGGUAAGUAAAAAAUAGCUAUUGAAAAGGAAACAUUUUAGAUAAUAAAAAAAAAAUUUGAGAGUACACUUGUUUUAACUGCAGAGAUUGGGGGAUUUUAAUCUGAAUAAAAGAGCUUACUUUUAUUGGGUAACAAGGGAGCAAGGCUCUUUCGAAUGGUUCAAAGGUGUAAUGGAUGAUAUUGCAGAAAAUGAUCACAAUGUGGGUCAUUAACCUUAACUUUUAGUAUUUUAUGUUUUUCGUUAUCAGUGCAUACCAUUUCAUUUAAUUAAUAGGUCAUGUAUGUGAAUUAUUGCAGAACAUAAUUGAAAUGCAUAACUACCUAACGAGUGUGUAUGAACAAGGUGACGUGAGAUCUGCACUUAUUUCUAUGGUGCAGUCUCUGCAACUUGCUAAAGAUGGAGUUGAUGUUGUCUCUCAGAGUAAGGUAUAAACUUUCUUGAAAUAUAUGAUGACUUAAAACUUAAUCUGUUCUUUAUUUUCAAGGAUUUAUUUUCUAACAACAAACAAAUCACGGCAGAUUAAAACACAUUUUGCAAGACCUAACUGGAGAAAGGUAUUCCAGACCUUGGCAACUACGCAUAAAGGUUCUAAAAUAGGUAAAGCAUCACACUCAUUACUACUAUCUUUUCUAAUAUUGAUUAUUAUAAUGGUUAUAUAUUUGGUUCUAGUGUCGGGCUCUAUUGGGAAAAUGGUCUCAUAGAUUCUCAAUAAUGCGUCCAAUGAAAAGAAAAAGAACUUGAAUGUCGAAAACUAGAGAAAAACUAGUCUUCAGAGAGAAAAAUUCACUAUCAGAUAAAUUAUUACAAUCACAUAGACUAAUCUCUCAAACCAGCCCCAAAUUACACCCACACCCUCCAAAGAUUCAACUCACACCUUUCUAAACCAUGAGGCAAGAGAAGAAAGAAUGAAACAAACAAAUACUUAAAACCAUAUUUGAGAGCAGCACCACUCCACCUUUUUAUAAAAAUUCCAUAUUAAAUAUUAGCCAACAAAUCUCAAUAAAUCUACGUUGUAUGUGCUUAUCAUCAUUUUACAAUUUCCGUUUCCAUCGAAUUGCAGGUGUUUUCUAUUGCGGGGCCCGGGCACUUACAAAACAACUAAGAAAUCUCUGCAAAGAAUUUAGCCUAACAAACACGACUCGCUUUCAUUUCCACAAGGAGAAUUUCUAAAAAAAGACGAAAAAAAUGUACCAACAGUUUUCGCUAUGACAUGAGAUCAUUUGUAGAUCUGCAGGUCUCUAUCAAAGUUCUAAUGACAGCGGGAUUAAUUGCUAUUUUUUGAGAACAAGAGCUUUUGUUAUAUAUAGAGACUGGUAGCAGAUCUUUGUGCUGCUGUUGGAGAAUUGUUGCAUGUUUGGGCAACCUUGUUUUGUGUAGCUUAAUCAAAUCUGCCUCUUCUCCUGAUCCCGAAAGAUAAAAUAAAAUAAUGAGGAUCUAUGCUUAGUUUAGUUUAUCAGGCAAUGAUUUGUAUCGUCUCAUAAAAUCCCUCAACCUUGAGUUUAACUUUUUAAUUGGUUAAUUUACACUGUUAUGGCAAUUCAGGUAUAGUGAUUGAGGUAUGCAAAUGAAAAAGGUAUACCAAUGAACUAAAUUCCUUUUGCAUAACGGCAUUACAAAUUCACCAUCAAAACAGCAUAGAACUAAACCAAUUUCUCACAAUUGAAAAUAAUUCUUCAAUCAGUAACGAACUAACAAUUUAACAACAAAAAUAACAAUAAAUACCUAAUUUUCAGACCCAAUCAUCAGCUUCGAACUUCAACAUCAUUGUUGUUGAUACUCCUCAAGCUACCCCUUCUCGCUUUUCUUAAAUACAUUCAUUGAGGUAUACGAGCUGGUAAAACGCCGGAGUCGGAGAUGGUUGUAAAGGUAAGUAGACGCCGACUAAAAACUGCAUUCUCGGAGGUGAACAGUUUCCCAAAUCCCAAUUGGCAUUAAUU